AACGAACGCUGGCGGCAGGCCUAACACAUGCAAGUCGAGCGCUCUCUUCGGAGGGAGCGGCGGACGGGUGAGUAACGCGUGGGAACGUGCCCAAAGGUACGGAACAACAGUUGGAAACGACUGCUAAUGCCGUAUGUGCCCUACGGGGGAAAGAUUUAUCGCCUUUGGAUCGGCCCGCGUCGGAUUAGGUAGUUGGUGGGGUAACGGCCCACCAAGCCGACGAUCCGUAGCUGGUUUGAGAGGAUGAUCAGCCACACUGGGACUGAGACACGGCCCAGACUCCUACGGGAGGCAGCAGUGGGGAAUCUUGGACAAUGGGGGCAACCCUGAUCCAGCCAUGCCGCGUGAGCGAUGAAGGCCUUAGGGUUGUAAAGCUCUUUCACCCGCGAAGAUAAUGACGGUAGCGGGAGAAGAAGCCCCGGCUAACUCCGUG
RNAcentral lists this ribosomal RNA (433 nucleotides) under uncultured Alphaproteobacteria bacterium. RNAcentral's name for it is "bacterial SSU rRNA". It matches the Rfam family "Bacterial small subunit ribosomal RNA", at positions 29 to 507 of the family's 1533-position model. Lineage: Bacteria; Pseudomonadati; Pseudomonadota; Alphaproteobacteria. The record is from RNAcentral.